Molecule: ribosomal RNA, 655 nt
Filed under: uncultured bacterium
Lineage: Bacteria
Description: bacterial SSU rRNA
Rfam family: Bacterial small subunit ribosomal RNA
Source: RNAcentral
AGAGUUUGAUCCUGGCUCAGAACGAACGCUGGCGGCGCGCCUAAUACAUGCAAGUCGAGCGAGAAGGUGUAGCAAUACACUUGUAAAGCGGCGAACGGGUGAGGAAUACAUGGGUAAUCUACCAUCGAGUGGGGAAUAACCAACCGAAAGGUUGGCUAAUACCGCGUACGCCUCCGGAUCUUCGGGUUCGGAGGGAAAGCUGCACUGUGAGUGUAGCGCUCUUUGAUGAGCUCAUGUCCUAUCAGCUUGUUGGUAGGGUAACGGCCUACCAAGGCUUUGACGGGUAGCUGGUCUGAGAGGACGAUCAGCCACACUGGCACUGCGACACGGGCCAGACUCCUACGGGAGGCAGCAGUAAGGAAUAUUGCGCAAUGGGCGAAAGCCUGACGCAGCGACGCCGCGUGGGGGAUGAAGGUCUUCGGAUUGUAAACCCCUUUCGGGAGGGAAGAUGGAACGAGCAAUCGUUCGGACGGUACCUCCAGAAGCAGCCACGGCCAACUUCGUGCCAGCAGCCGCGGUAAUACGAAGGGUGCAAGCGUUAAUCGGAAUUACUGGGCGUAAAGCGUGCGUAGGUGGUUUGUUAAGUCAGAUGUGAAAGCCCUGGGCUCAACCUGGGAACUGCAUUUGAUACUGGCAGGCUAGAGUGCGGUAGAGG